RNAcentral lists this ribosomal RNA (253 nucleotides) under uncultured bacterium. RNAcentral describes it as "partial 16S ribosomal RNA". It matches the Rfam family "Bacterial small subunit ribosomal RNA", at positions 524 to 776 of the family's 1533-position model. The record is from RNAcentral.
UACGUAGGCAGCAAGCGUUGUUCGGAGUUACUGGGCGUAAAGGGUGCGUAGGCGGUUCUCUAAGUUUGGUGUGAAAUCUCCCGGCUCAACUGGGAGGGUGCGCCGAAAACUGGAAAGCUAGAGUGUGGGAGAGGUGAGUGGAAUUCCUGGUGUAGCGGUGAAAUGCGUAGAUAUCAGGAGGAACACCGGUGGUGUAGACGGCUCACUGGACCAUUACUGACGCUGAGGCACGAAAGCGUGGGUAGCAAACAGG